UUAAUUGAAACCAAAGUAGAGGUAUAUCACUGUUAAUGAUUUAAUUGAGUUUAACUCCGAUUAAG
RNAcentral lists this transfer RNA (65 nucleotides) under Ontholestes tessellatus. RNAcentral's name for it is "tRNA-Asn". The record is from RNAcentral. Lineage: Eukaryota; Metazoa; Arthropoda; Insecta; Coleoptera; Staphylinidae.